CUCAGAAACUUAAAGGAAGUUAGACGGGGCCCGCACAAGCGGUGGAGUAUGUGGUUUAAUUCGAUGCAACGCGAAGAACCUUACCUGGUCUUGACAUCCCGGAGACCCUUAGGAAACUAGGGGGUGCUUCCAUCUGGAAGAAUCUGGAGACAGGUGCUGCAUGGCUGUCGUCAGCUCGUGUCGUGAGAUGUUGGGGUUAAGUCCCGCAACGAGCGCAACCCUUGCCUUUAGUUGCCAGCAGUUCGGCUGGGCACUCUAAAGGGACUGCCGGUGUUAAACCGGAGGAAGGUGGGGAUGACGUCAAGUCCUCAUGGCCUUUAUGACCAGGGCUAUACACGUACUACAAUGGCCGAUACAAAGGGCAGCGACACUGCGAGGUGAAGCCAAUCCCGUAAAAUCGGUCUCAGUCCGGAUUGGAGUCUGCAACUCGACUCCAUGAAGUUGGAAUCGCUAGUAAUCGUGGAUCAGCAUGCCACGGUGAAUACGUUCCCGGGCCUU
RNAcentral lists this ribosomal RNA (498 nucleotides) under uncultured Desulfobulbus sp. RNAcentral's name for it is "bacterial SSU rRNA". It matches the Rfam family "Bacterial small subunit ribosomal RNA", at positions 892 to 1382 of the family's 1533-position model. Lineage: Bacteria; Pseudomonadati; Thermodesulfobacteriota; Desulfobulbia; Desulfobulbales; Desulfobulbaceae. The record is from RNAcentral.